This 527-nucleotide ribosomal RNA is filed under the name Tanaocheles bidentata. RNAcentral's name for it is "partial 16S ribosomal RNA". It matches the Rfam family "Archaeal large subunit ribosomal RNA", at positions 1902 to 2672 of the family's 2987-position model. The record is from RNAcentral. Lineage: Eukaryota; Metazoa; Arthropoda; Malacostraca; Decapoda; Tanaochelidae.
AAAACAUGUUUGUUUGUAGUUUUAAAUAGUUUGACCUGCUCACUGAUAAAAAUUUGAAGAGCCGCGGUAUCCUGACCGUGCAAAGGUAGCAUAAUCAUUAGUUCUUUAAUUGGGAACUUGUAUGAAUGGUUGGACAAAAGAAAAGCUGUCUACAAUAAUAAAAAUUGAAUUUAACUUUUAAGUGAAAAGGCUUAAAUAAUUUAAAGUGACGAUAAGACCCUAUAAAACUUUAUACGAAAUUUUAAACUAAAUUGAUUUUUAAAUUUUUAGUAUUUAUAUGGUAUUUUAUUGGGGCGAUAAAAGUAUAAAUAAAAGUAACUGCUAUUUUCUUAAACAAUAAUGUUUGUAUAAAAGUAAAUGAUCCUUUAUAAAGAGUAAAAAACUAAGUUACUUUAGGGAUAACAGCGUAAUUUUUUUUAAGAGUUCAUAUCGAAAAAAAAGAUUGCGACCUCGAUGUUGAAUUAAAAAAUCUUUCUAGGGCAGCACCUAAAAAAGAAGAUCUGUUCGAUCUUUAAAUUUUUACAUGA